AUUGAACGCUGGCGGCAUGCCUUACACAUGCAAGUCGAACGGCAGCGGGGGAGAAGCUUGCUUUUCCUGCCGGCGAGUGGCGAACGGGUGAGUAAUACAUCGGAACGUGCCCUGUAGUGGGGGAUAACGUAGGGAAACUUACGCUAAUACCGCAUACGACCUACGGGUGAAAGCAGGGGACCUUCGGGCCUCGCGCGGUUGACUGAGCCUGUGUCGGCUCAGCUAGUUGGCGGGGUAAAGGCCCACCAAGGCGACGAUCCGUAGCUGGGCUGAGAGGAUGAUCAGCCACACUGGAAAUGAGACACGGUCCAGACUCCUACGGGAGGCAGCAGUGGGGAAUAUUGGACAAGGGGCGCAAGCCUGAUCCAGCCAUACCGCGUGGGUGAAGAAGGCCUUCGGGUUGUAAAGCCCUUUUGUUGGGAAAGAAACCCAGCCAGUUAAUACCUGGUUGGGAUGACGGUACCCAAAGAAUAAGCACCGGCUAACUUCGUGCCAGCAGCCGCGGUAA
This 508-nucleotide ribosomal RNA is filed under the name uncultured bacterium. RNAcentral's name for it is "partial 16S ribosomal RNA". It matches the Rfam family "Bacterial small subunit ribosomal RNA", at positions 30 to 523 of the family's 1533-position model. The record is from RNAcentral.